RNAcentral lists this long non-coding RNA (231 nucleotides) under Sorghum bicolor (sorghum). RNAcentral's name for it is "long non-coding RNA (SBIC_LNC001886)". The record is from RNAcentral. Lineage: Eukaryota; Viridiplantae; Streptophyta; Magnoliopsida; Poales; Poaceae.
UAUAUUUAGUGCUUCAUGUAUGUGUCGCAAGAUUAGAUGUGAUGGAGAAUCUGUGAAAUUUUGCAAAAUAUUUUGGGAACUAAACAAGGCCUAAUAAAUAUAGCUAAGAUUGAUAAUUCAAUAUUGAUUCAAAGUGUUCAAACACAAGAAAUCAUAAAAUAAGCAUAGAAAAAUACCAAAUAUAUGGAGUCUUUUGCUAAAAAAAAAAUAUGUUAAAAAAAUUUGAGCCCA